Molecule: microRNA precursor, 103 nt
Filed under: Canis lupus familiaris (dog)
Lineage: Eukaryota; Metazoa; Chordata; Mammalia; Carnivora; Canidae
Also listed under: 1 other name
Description: mir-8834 microRNA precursor family
Rfam family: mir-8834 microRNA precursor family
Source: Rfam by way of RNAcentral
AGGAACAACAACAGUGGCAGCGCAAGCUCUCCAGCCCUGGAGUCAGCUUCCGCAGUAACUACAGAGCUCUCAGUCUGCAGGGUCCUGGAUGCUCCGGGGGCGG